Molecule: non-coding RNA, 115 nt
Organism: Otolemur garnettii (small-eared galago)
Lineage: Eukaryota; Metazoa; Chordata; Mammalia; Primates; Galagidae
Source: Rfam
AAUUAUAUCAAAGGGUCAUUCAUAUUAAAAACAGGCUAAGAGUAGUCUGACUGUGAUCGCCUAAAAACUGGAAGAUAAGUAUUCACGUUGUGAAGAUUUCUUUGGAAAACCCCUG